RNAcentral lists this transfer RNA (67 nucleotides) under Amoria hunteri. RNAcentral's name for it is "tRNA-Cys". It matches the Rfam family "tRNA". Rfam says of the family: Transfer RNA (tRNA) molecules are approximately 80 nucleotides in length. The record is from RNAcentral. Lineage: Eukaryota; Metazoa; Mollusca; Gastropoda; Neogastropoda; Volutidae.
CCCGUCAUAGUUUAAAAUAAAAACAUCGACCUGCAAAAUCGAAAAAGGAAAAGAUUUCCUGACGUGU